GCUUGAGUGAGCGGCGGCGAGCUUGAGAACGCCAUGGCCGGCAGAUUUGACGAAGGAGCGGCUCCAAACAAAGUAGUUUCACUUUCACAAGGAAACACACAGCGCCUUCACGACAUGGCGGCGGCGGCAGCAACAAUACUACAGCGAGAAUAAAAGUUACGCCUUCUUUCUUUGCGUGAACAUUUGGGCGGUGUUAGAACGAUCCGUUUUAGGAGGGCGUGGUUGACUCUUAACUUUUAUAAAGAAUAUAUUUUUGGAUUUGAGACUUUAGUCUUUGCAACUUUACAGAUCUUCUUUAUGCACCAAAAGCUUGUAACACUCCAAAGAGAAAGGAAAAAUUGAAAUCGCAUCAUAUGACCCCUUUAAAGGUGUCUGCCAAAUGCAUAAAUGUAAAUGGUGUGCAAAUAACCUGCUCUCUGCUUGCAUUAUUACAGUCAGUGAACAGGGAUCUUAUUCAUGGUCUCUAAGAAGUUCAGCACGCGGUUCAGUUGUAUCACAAUCAGAAGCAGACAGUAGGUCAAUUUGUGGCUCAUCAAGUUCCAGAGAUUCAUCGCACACCUCAAGAUAUGAGACAGUGGUUCCGAAAAUAUGUAAUAGCAUGGAAUUUCCACCAAACAUGAGUGGAGAUAAGAGGUGGGACAUGAAGUCUAUAGGAAGUUCUGCUUAUGGUUCAUUUGGAUCACUAUCAGGAGCAGACAGCAGGAACAUUUUGGGAUUAUCACAUUCCAGAGAUUCAUCGCACACCUCAAUACAUGAUUCAGGGGACCUGAAAAUAUAUAACAGCAUGGAAUUACCUCCAAACUUGUGUGAAGAUGACAGGUCAGACGCAUUGUCUCUGGGAAGUUUAGCUCAUGGUUCAGUUGUAUCAGGAGCAGAAAGCAGGUCAUAUUUUGGAUCAUCACGUCCCAGAGAUUCAUGGCACACCUCAAAAUAUGAGUCAGGGGUCCUGAAAAUAUGUAACAGCAUGGAAUUACCAACAAACUUGAGUGGAGAUGAGAGGUGGGACACAAGGUCUAUGGGAAGUUCUGCUUACAGUUCAUCUGGAUCACUAUCAGGAGCAGACAUCGGUUCAGUUUUUAGCUCAUCACAAUCAAAAGUCUCAUCACACAGCUCAAAAUUUGGGUCUGUGGAACAUUUAGGGACCAAAAGAGCACAUUGUGUGCCCAAUGUCUCAAAACUUAAGCAUGAUGAGGACACUGAGAAGACUUGAAUACUAAAUUAAUGUGGUGACUGUAUAAUACUGACUUUGUAAUUUUUACAUCAUAAUGUAUCUGUCAGAUUCUGUUCCUUGUUUUGGGUGUGUUUUGCUCCCCAUGUGCCUUUCAUGCCCUUAUUUGGUCCUUCCUGUUCCUGUCCCCAUUUAGUUCUAUUAGUUCCAGGUGUUCCUUGUUAUUAGUUAUCCCCCUCCCCUGUCUGCCCCUCAAUAUCUGCCCUAUUUGAGUUCUAGCCCGUUCUGUUCUCCCUUGUCCGGAAUUGUAUAUGUCUACCCUUGCUACGUGUGUUUCCUUGUUCCCUGCAUGUUAUUAAAACCUAUAUGUUUGAAUUCCACUCCUCGUCUCCUCGCUCCUUUGUCUCCGGGCUCACUCAAGCCCGCUGGCUGUUCCCGAGUCAGGCCCGCCGGCCACCGCAAGGACAAGCACUUCACGGCCACCCAGUUCACCCGUAAUCAGAAGAGGAGAAAGAGGAGAAAUGACUGGCUCAGGGUCCUCUUCCGCGCCCGAGUACUCACUCCAGUGUCGGCUCCAGCCCCAGAGCUCCCUGCAGUGUCGGCUCCAGCCCCAGAGCUCGCUCCAGUGUCGGCUCCAGCCCCCGAAUCUAGCCCAGUGAGGGCUCCUGUCCCUGAGUUUAGCCCAUAGAGGGCUCCUGUUCCUGAGCUUAUCCCACGGAGGGCUCCUGUUCCUGAGUUUAGCCCGGUGAGGGCUCCUGUCCCCGAGUUUAGCCCGGUGAGGGCUCCUGUCCCCGAGUUUAGCCCAGUGAAGGCUCCUGUUCCCGAGUUUAGCCCACGGAGGGCUCCGGUUCCUGAGCUUAUCCCACGGAGGGCUCAUGUUCCUAUAUCUGGCCCACGGAGGGCCUCAGAGCCUGUAAUCUAGAGGGCCUGUAGAGGCCUCGGAGGCGGCUCUGCCAUGGCUUCCUAGUCUGCCUGCACCGCCAUGGCUUCCUGAACUGUCUGCUCUGCCAUGGCUUCCUAGUCUGCCUGCUCUGCCAUGGCCUCCUAAUCUGCCUGUUCCGCCAUGGCCUCCUGAACUGUCUGAUCCGCCAUGGCCCCCUGAACUGUCUGAUCUGCCAUGGCCCCCUGAACUGUCUGUUCUGCCAAGGCCUCCUGGACUACCUGCUCCGCCAUGGCGCCCCGAGCUGCCUGAUCUGCCAUGGUGCCCCGAACUGCCAGAUCCGCCAUGGGUCCUGGAACGGGUGCCGCCCUGGAGGCCUUCCGUCCUGGAACCCUGCUCCUAGAGGCCUCCAGAGCGCCCCCCCCCCCUCCCUGUUGGAUGUUGUACGGCGCGGGACGCACCUUCCGGGUGGGGGGAGUAAUGUCAGACUCUGUUCCUUGUUUUGUGUGCGUUUUGCUCCCCAUGUGCGUUCCUUGCCCUUAUUUGGUCCUUCCUGUUCCUGUCCCCAUUUAGUUCAAUUUGUCCGGAAUUGUAUAUGUCUACCCUUGCUAUGUGUGUUUCCUUGUUC
Long non-coding RNA from Sinocyclocheilus grahami, 2676 nucleotides. The record is from Ensembl. NCBI's taxonomy places the organism in Eukaryota, Metazoa, Chordata, Actinopteri, Cypriniformes, Cyprinidae.